This 200-nucleotide long non-coding RNA is filed under the name Elaeis guineensis (African oil palm). Its description in RNAcentral is "long non-coding RNA (EGUI_LNC068111)". The record is from RNAcentral. Lineage: Eukaryota; Viridiplantae; Streptophyta; Magnoliopsida; Arecales; Arecaceae.
UGCUUCACACAGAAAUGGAUCUAGAACUUUUCCUUAGCAUUUCUUGAUUCUCUUCUUAAAAAAAUCUAGUAGUCCCUCUCUCUCUUUUCUUUUUGGCAUGCACCCUCCUUUGGGCAUGAAACAAUUUCUACAUGAGGUUGGAGGUAGGGCAUCCAACAACUUGGGCGUGCAACAAGUAGGGCAUGAGACAAGAGGGGGUG